Long non-coding RNA from Patella vulgata (common limpet), 602 nucleotides. RefSeq lists it as uncharacterized. The record is from RefSeq and is a predicted model, not a curated record. Lineage: Eukaryota; Metazoa; Mollusca; Gastropoda; Patellidae. The transcript has 3 exons.
AGAGAGCAUGACGGUCUUCCGGCGACCAACUACAUAAAAGACAGAGCGACCAAGCACAAUUAUCAGUCGCCACAAACAGCUGAUCGACUCGAAGUCCCGAGCCACCUCGACGUCCGCCAUACCGUACCUAUCCAGAACCGCAAGGUACUAAAGCAUACAGAAAUGAAUUCCCAAAAGAUCACCAUUACCCUCAUCAUGGUAGUUUUAUUAUGCUGCCAGGCAGUAUUAGCUGCCCCAUUCAAAGCAAUGUCUGAGGAAAGAUCGAAUUCUGGUCAAUUGCUGAGAUCAAUCAGCGAUGCUGUCUCCAGCAUCGCAGAAGAAGAUAUGGCACCACUAUCCCGAAACAGAAGGUAUGUGGUCAUUCAAGUUAUGGGAAAACUUGCUCAGGACGAUCGCCAAUACCGAACUCGACUACACCCUCGCCAUCACCGCUUUCAUCAUCGUCACCGACAAACUCAAAACCAUAUUAAGAAGCAAUGAAAGGAAUGAUUGAUAUGUGCUUCUGGAUGGUCAAAUGACCAUCAUUGUUUUCCAUGACGUGACGUUGAUCUAGUGGUGACGGUAUCGAAAUAAAUGGCAAAAAUAAAAGAUAUUGAAACAAU